Molecule: ribosomal RNA, 254 nt
Filed under: uncultured bacterium
Lineage: Bacteria
Description: partial 16S ribosomal RNA
Rfam family: Bacterial small subunit ribosomal RNA
Source: RNAcentral
CCGACGGGUGAGUAACACGUAUGCAACCUGCCUGCCACAGCCGGAUAAUCGGGAGAAAUUCCGUCUAAUACGGCAUAAUGCAUCGACGGGACAUCCUGUUGGUGCAAGGUGAUUCCGGUGGCGGAUGGGCAUGCGUCGCAUUAGUUAGUUGGCGGUGUAACGGACCACCAAGACGACGAUGCGUAGGGGUUCUGAGAGGAAGGUCCCCCACACUGGUACUGAGACACGGACCAGACUCCUACGGGAGGCAGCAG